This 1276-nucleotide ribosomal RNA is filed under the name Bacillus sp. A10. RNAcentral's name for it is "bacterial SSU rRNA". It matches the Rfam family "Bacterial small subunit ribosomal RNA", at positions 85 to 1348 of the family's 1533-position model. The record is from RNAcentral. RNAcentral also lists the same sequence under 1 other name. Lineage: Bacteria; Bacillati; Bacillota; Bacilli; Caryophanales; Bacillaceae.
CCGGAUGUUAGCGGCGGACGGGUGAGUAACACGUGGGUAACCUGCCUGUAAGACUGGGAUAACUCCGGGAAACCGGAGCUAAUACCGGAUAGUUCCUUGAACCGCAUGGUUCAAGGAUGAAAGACGGUUUCGGCUGUCACUUACAGAUGGACCCGCGGCGCAUUAGCUAGUUGGUGAGGUAACGGCUCACCAAGGCGACGAUGCGUAGCCGACCUGAGAGGGUGAUCGGCCACACUGGGACUGAGACACGGCCCAGACUCCUACGGGAGGCAGCAGUAGGGAAUCUUCCGCAAUGGACGAAAGUCUGACGGAGCAACGCCGCGUGAGUGAUGAAGGUUUUCGGAUCGUAAAGCUCUGUUGUUAGGGAAGAACAAGUGCAAGAGUAACUGCUUGCACCUUGACGGUACCUAACCAGAAAGCCACGGCUAACUACGUGCCAGCAGCCGCGGUAAUACGUAGGUGGCAAGCGUUGUCCGGAAUUAUUGGGCGUAAAGGGCUCGCAGGCGGUUUCUUAAGUCUGAUGUGAAAGCCCCCGGCUCAACCGGGGAGGGUCAUUGGAAACUGGGAAACUUGAGUGCAGAAGAGGAGAGUGGAAUUCCACGUGUAGCGGUGAAAUGCGUAGAGAUGUGGAGGAACACCAGUGGCGAAGGCGACUCUCUGGUCUGUAACUGACGCUGAGGAGCGAAAGCGUGGGGAGCGAACAGGAUUAGAUACCCUGGUAGUCCACGCCGUAAACGAUGAGUGCUAAGUGUUAGGGGGUUUCCGCCCCUUAGUGCUGCAGCUAACGCAUUAAGCACUCCGCCUGGGGAGUACGGUCGCAAGACUGAAACUCAAAGGAAUUGACGGGGGCCCGCACAAGCGGUGGAGCAUGUGGUUUAAUUCGAAGCAACGCGAAGAACCUUACCAGGUCUUGACAUCCUCUGACAACCCUAGAGAUAGGGCUUUCCCUUCGGGGACAGAGUGACAGKUGGUGCAUGGUUGUCGUCAGCUCGUGUCGUGAGAUGUUGGGUUAAGUCCCGCAACGAGCGCAACCCUUGAUCUUAGUUGCCAGCAUUCAGUUGGGCACUCUAAGGUGACUGCCGGUGACAAACCGGAGGAAGGUGGGGAUGACGUCAAAUCAUCAUGCCCCUUAUGACCUGGGCUACACACGUGCUACAAUGGACAGAACAAAGGGCUGCGAGACCGCAAGGUUUAGCCAAUCCCACAAAUCUGUUCUCAGUUCGGAUCGCAGUCUGCAACUCGACUGCGUGAAGCUGGAAUCGCUAGUAAUCGCGGA